RNAcentral lists this ribosomal RNA (35 nucleotides) under Pholiota abietis. RNAcentral's name for it is "partial 28S ribosomal RNA". The record is from RNAcentral. Lineage: Eukaryota; Fungi; Basidiomycota; Agaricomycetes; Agaricales; Strophariaceae.
GCACCGCUUCUAAUCGUCUUCGGACAAUAUAUGAC